GUACUCGCUUCGACAGCAUAUAUACUAAAAUUGGAGUGAUACAGAGAAGAUUACCAUGGCUCCUGCACAAGGAUGACAUGCAAAUUUGUAAAGCGUUCCAUAUUUUU
RNAcentral lists this small nuclear RNA (107 nucleotides) under Mustela putorius furo (domestic ferret). The record is from RNAcentral. Lineage: Eukaryota; Metazoa; Chordata; Mammalia; Carnivora; Mustelidae.